UAGUACAUAUAUAAGUAUAUAUCAUUAUUUUGUUAAAUUCAUUUUAUAUUUCUUUCCUUUUCCCUACUUCUCAUUCUUCUACUCUACUGAUCUUACCUAUAUAUUUAUGAUAUCCUAUUCUGUCCCCCACCAUCUUCUUUCCCUUGUUUUGCUCUAACUUUUUCAUAUGAGAGAAAAAUGUUUGGCUGUUGAUUUUUCUGACUCUUGAUUUAUUUCACUUAACAUGAUUUUAACCAUUUACCAGCAAAGCCUUUAUUUCAUUCUUCUUUAUGGCUGAGUAAAAUGUCAUUGUGUAUAUAUACAACAUUUUCUCUAUCUGUUCACCUACUGAUGGACAUUUGGGUUGAUUUCAUAAUUUGGCUAUUAUGAAUUGUGCUGCUGUAAAUAUUGAAAUGGCUGUAUCACUCUAGUAUGCUGAUUUUAGUUCUUUGGGAGAAAUAACCAAGGACUGGGACAUCUGAGUCACAUGGUAUGUCCGAUCCUAGAUUUUUGUGGAAUCUUCACACUGCUUUCCAAAGUACUAAUUUGCAGUCCCACCAACAAUGUAUGAUUAUACCUUCCCCCACCCCACCCCCACAUCCUCACCUGAGAUAUUAUUGUGUUCUUGAUGAUUGCCAUUCUAACUGGAGUGAGAUGGUUUUGAUUUGUGUUUCUCUGAUUACUAGAGAUGUUGAAUGUUUUUUCAUAUGUUUGUUGGCCAUUUGUAUUUCUUUUGAAAAAUUCUUUUGACCAUUUGUUGAUUGGGCUAUUUGGGUUUUUGUGUGUGUGUGUGUUUUUGAAAUCUAAUUCUGGAUAUUAAUCCCCUGUCAGAGGCCAAGAUUUUCUUGCCAUUCUGUAGGAUGUCUCUUCACUCUCUUAAUCAUUUCCUUUGUUGUGCAGAAGCUUUUCAAUUUGAUGGCAUCCCACUUAUUGAUUCUUGGUUUUUAUUUCUUAAGCUCUGGAGGUCUUGUUUCAGUGCCUGCAUCCAUAUGAUGGAGUGUUGAGC
Molecule: long non-coding RNA, 985 nt
Filed under: Marmota monax (woodchuck)
Lineage: Eukaryota; Metazoa; Chordata; Mammalia; Rodentia; Sciuridae
Source: RNAcentral